Molecule: ribosomal RNA, 448 nt
Filed under: uncultured prokaryote
Description: bacterial SSU rRNA
Rfam family: Bacterial small subunit ribosomal RNA
Source: RNAcentral
UGGGGAAUAUUGGACAAUGGGCGAAAGCCUGAUCCAGCAAUGCCGCGUGUGUGAAGAAGGCCUGCGGGUUGUAAAGCACUUUCAGUAGGGAGGACGGUACAUAAGGUUAAUACCCUUGAGUGCUGACGUUACCUACAGAAGAAGCACCGGCUAACUCCGUGCCAGCAGCCGCGGUAAUACGGGGGGUGCAAGCGUUAAUCGGAAUUACUGGGCGUAAAGCGCGCGUAGGCGGUUUGGUAAGUCAGAUGUGAAAGCCCCGGGCUCAACCUGGGAAUUGCAUUUGAUAAUGUCAGACUAGAGUGUGAUAGAGGAUAGUGGAAUUCCCGGUGUAGCGGUGAAAUGCGUAGAUAUCUGGAGGAAAACCAAUGGCGAAGGCAACUGUCUGGGUCAACACUGACGCUGAGGUGCGAAAGCGUGGGGCGCAAACAGGAUUAGAUACCCCUGUAGU